ACAAAGGCUCUUUUAAGAGCCAUUACAUAUUCACCAAAGAGCAAAGG
Molecule: non-coding RNA, 47 nt
Organism: Tetraodon nigroviridis (spotted green pufferfish)
Lineage: Eukaryota; Metazoa; Chordata; Actinopteri; Tetraodontiformes; Tetraodontidae
Source: Rfam